Molecule: ribosomal RNA, 468 nt
Filed under: uncultured bacterium
Lineage: Bacteria
Description: partial 16S ribosomal RNA
Rfam family: Bacterial small subunit ribosomal RNA
Source: RNAcentral
GACGAACGCUGGCGGCGUGCUUAACACAUGCAAGUCGAACGGAAAGGCCCUGCUUUUGUGGGGUGCUCGAGUGGCGAACGGGUGAGUAACACGUGAGUAACCUGCCCUUGACUUUGGGAUAACUUCAGGAAACUGGGGCUAAUACCGUAUAGGAGCUCCUGCUGCAUUGUGGGGGUUGGAAAGUUUCGGCGGUUGGGGCUGGACUCGCGGCUUAUCAGCUUGUUGGUCGGGUAGUGGCUUACCAAGGCUUUGACGGGUAGCCGGCCUGAGAGGGUGACCGGCCACAAGGGGACUGAGAUACGCCCCAGACUGCUAUGGGGGGCAGCAGUGGAGAAUAUUGCACAAUGGGCCGAAGCCUGAUACGGCAACGCUGCGUUCGGGAUGACGGCCUUCGGGUUGUGAACCGCUUUAGCCUGAGACGAAGCGUGAGUGACGGUAAUGGAUAAAGAAGCACCGGCUAACUACGUG